This 57-nucleotide transfer RNA is filed under the name Rhipicephalus geigyi. RNAcentral's name for it is "tRNA-Ser". The record is from RNAcentral. Lineage: Eukaryota; Metazoa; Arthropoda; Arachnida; Ixodida; Ixodidae.
AAGAUUAACUAUUUAGGCUUCUAACCUAAUAAUAAUGAGUAAUUUCAUUUAAUCUUU